This 492-nucleotide ribosomal RNA is filed under the name uncultured bacterium. RNAcentral's name for it is "partial 16S ribosomal RNA". It matches the Rfam family "Bacterial small subunit ribosomal RNA", at positions 29 to 507 of the family's 1533-position model. The record is from RNAcentral.
AGUGAACGCUGGCGGUAGGCCUAACACAUGCAAGUCGAACGGCAGCACAGUAAGAGCUUGCUCUUACGGGUGGCGAGUGGCGGACGGGUGAGGAAUACAUCGGAAUCUACUUUUUCGUGGGGGAUAACGCAGGGAAACUUACGCUAAUACCGCAUACGACCUACGGGUGAAAGCAGGGGAUCUUCGGACCUUGCGCGAUCGAAUGAGCCGAUGUCGGAUUAGCUAGUUGGCGGGGUAAAGGCCCACCAAGGCGACGAUCCGUAGCUGGUCUGAGAGGAUGAUCAGCCACACUGGAACUGAGACACGGUCCAGACUCCUACGGGAGGCAGCAGUGGGGAAUAUUGGACAAUGGGCGCAAGCCUGAUCCAGCCAUACCGCGUGGGUGAAGAAGGCCUUCGGGUUGUAAAGCCCUUUUGUUGGGAAAGAAAAGCAGCAGGUUAAUACCCCGCUGUUCUGACGGUACCCAAAGAAUAAGCACCGGCUAACUUCGUG